UGAACGCUGGCGGCGUGCCUACUACAUGCAAGUCGAGCGAACAGACGAUGAGCUUGCUCCUCUGACGUUAGCGGCGGACGGGUGAGUAACACGUGGAUAACCUACCUAUAAGACUGGGAUAACUUCGGGAAACCGGAGCUAAUACCGGAUAAUAUAUUGAACCGCAUGGUUCAAUAGUGAAAGACGGUUUUGCUGUCACUUAUAGAUGGAUCCGCGCCGCAUUAGCUAGUUGGUAAGGUAACGGCUUACCAAGGCAACGAUGCGUAGCCGACCUGAGAGGGUGAUCGGCCACACUGGAACUGAGACACGGUCCAGACUCCUACGGGAGGCAGCAGUAGGGAAUCUUCCGCAAUGGGCGAAAGCCUGACGGAGCAACGCCGCGUGAGUGAUGAAGGUCUUCGGAUCGUAAAACUCUGUUAUUAGGGAAGAACAAAUGUGUAAGUAACUAUGCACGUCUUGACGGUACCUAAUCAGAAAGCCACGGCUAACUACGUG
RNAcentral lists this ribosomal RNA (495 nucleotides) under uncultured bacterium. RNAcentral's name for it is "partial 16S ribosomal RNA". It matches the Rfam family "Bacterial small subunit ribosomal RNA", at positions 30 to 507 of the family's 1533-position model. The record is from RNAcentral.